UGCGGCGCUGCCGCAAAGCGGAACAAAAGCGCGGGCGCUCCUCCCCUCCCCCUCCACUUGUGCUUUUAAUUUGGGAAAGGAAGACGGGGCGAUGGUAGUCGAGGCGUUUCUCCUCGCUCCUCGCCCCUCCUGCCCGCGCCGUUAGCCUUUCCCGCGGCGCCGUUUCUGCGGCGGGCCGAGCGGGGCUGCUGCGCGGCCGGCGCGGUUACGUCCGGCUGUGAAAAAAAGGCGCGUUUCCGUGUGGGUUCUGUUUGUGCCCGGCUCCGCGCCCGGCGCUUGGCUGAGGACGCACCGCUGUACUAAAGAAAAAAACCGCUAAAUGAGCUUUUGUGCGCGCUUUGCUCGAGCAGUCUGUGCAUUACCGUUUGUUUUGCUUUAUGAUGGGAUGGUUGGGCUGGUCUCGUUUGUAGCUCUCCAUGAAAGCCUGUUAUAUUUGCUACUGUAGGUAUGAUGAUAUUCUGAUCAAUGGACUACCAGAUUGGCGACAGCCUGUAUUCUACUACAGGCGGGUGAGAAAAAUGAGCAAUGCUGAGCUGGCAUUACUCUUGUUCAUUAUACUCACAGUGGGUCAUUAUGCUGUGGUUUGGUCAAUCUACCUGGAAAAACAGCUGGAUGAACUGCUUAGCAGAAAAAAGAGGGAGAAGAA
This is a non-coding RNA of Meleagris gallopavo (turkey), 646 nucleotides long. Lineage: Eukaryota; Metazoa; Chordata; Aves; Galliformes; Phasianidae. The record is from RefSeq and is a predicted model, not a curated record.